CCACCACUAAGCCAGUGGUGAACUCCACAUACGCAUCCUUUGCUGAGGAGACGGUUAACGGAGCGAAAGCGACGUUCAACCUCAAAACAAGCAGAGGGGGCUUAGUGGUGGGGUGACUGCGUACCUUUUGUAUAAUGGGUCAGCGACUUAUAUUCUGUAGCAAGGUUAACCGAAUAGGGGAGCCGGAGGGAAACCGAGUCUUAAUUGGGCGUUAAGUUGCAGGGUAUAGACCCGAAACCCGGUGAUCUAGCCAUGGGCAGGUUGAAGGUUGGGUAACACUAACUGGAGGACCGAACCGACUAAUGUUGAAAAAUUAGCGGAUGACCUGUGGCUGGGGGUGAAAGGCCAAUCAAACCGGGAGAUAGCUGGUUCUCCCCGAAAGCUAUUUAGGUAGCGCCUCGUGAAUUCAUCUCCGGGGGUAGAGCACUGUUUCGGCUAGGGGGCCAUCCCGGCUUACCAACCCGAUGCAAACUGCGAAUACCGGAGAAUGUUAUCACGGGAGACACACGGCGGGUGCUAACGUCCGUCGUGAAGAGGGAAACAACCCAGACCGCCAGCUAAGGUCCCAAAGUCAUGGUUAAGUGGGAAACGAUGUGGGAAGGCCCAGACAGCCAGGAUGUUGGCUUAGAAGCAGCCAUCAUUUAAAGAAAGCGUAAUAGCUCACUGGUCGAGUCGGCCUGCGCGGAAGAUGUAACGGGGCUAAACCAUGCACCGAAGCUGCGGCAGCGACACUCAGGUGUUGUUGGGUAGGGGAGCGUUCUGUAAGCCUGUGAAGGUGGCCUGUGAGGGUUGCUGGAGGUAUCAGAAGUGCGAAUGCU
Molecule: ribosomal RNA, 818 nt
Filed under: Salmonella enterica
Lineage: Bacteria; Pseudomonadati; Pseudomonadota; Gammaproteobacteria; Enterobacterales; Enterobacteriaceae
Description: partial 23S ribosomal RNA
Rfam family: Bacterial large subunit ribosomal RNA (bases 87-818)
Source: RNAcentral